This 348-nucleotide unclassified non-coding RNA is filed under the name soil metagenome. RNAcentral describes it as "partial contains 5.8S ribosomal RNA, internal transcribed spacer 2, and large subunit ribosomal RNA". The stretch from base 1 to 120 matches the Rfam family "5.8S ribosomal RNA", at positions 35 to 154 of the family's 154-position model. The record is from RNAcentral.
GAUGAAGAACGUAGCGAAAUGCGAUACGUAAUGUGAAUUGCAGAAUUCAGUGAAUCAUCGAGUCUUUGAACGCACAUUGCGCCCCCUGGUAUUCCGGGGGGCAUGCCUGUCCGAGCGUCAUUGCUGCCCUCAAGCACGGCUUGUGUGUUGGGCCCCCGCCCCCCGGCUUCGGGGGGCGGGCCCGAAAGGCAGCGGCGGCACCGCGUCCGGUCCUCGAGCGUAUGGGGCUUCGUCACCCGCUCUGUAGGCCCGGCCGGCGCCCGCCGGCGACCCCAAUCAAUCUUUCCAGGUUGACCUCGGAUCAGGUAGGGAUACCCGCUGAACUUAAGCAUAUCAAUAAGCGGAGGA